Molecule: non-coding RNA, 2712 nt
Organism: Lolium perenne
Lineage: Eukaryota; Viridiplantae; Streptophyta; Magnoliopsida; Poales; Poaceae
Source: RefSeq, a predicted model, not a curated record
AACGCCGCCUCCCCCAGCGUCCGCCGCCGCCGCGCCGGGCGAGAGCGCCAUGGAUGGUGCUACCGUGCGAGCGCGGCAUGUCAUGGUAGUAUAUUCUCCAUCGUCUUGGGCCAUCUCCGCCGCUGAUUAGAAGCCAUCUGUUCGCUCCUCGUCUCCUCUCUUUCAGCAUCACCGCCACCGCCAGUACCCGGUCGUCUUCGCCGCCGAUUGGCGCCGCCAUGGAGCAGCCGGACUACGCUUAUUCCCCAUCUACUCCCUCUCUCGUUCUCGCUGUCGCCGCCGCCCAGUACUGCCGCCUCGCUAUUCUGCUGCUAACCCUAGCCGCCUCUACCCAAGAUGAGGAGAUGCCUUCGAUCGCAGCCAUCGUACGUCGGAAUCUACAUGAGCGAAGGUUCAGCAGCGGAUGGCUACAUGGAGCAUCACCAUCCUCCAUAGCAGACGUGAUGAGCAGCGGGACGGUCGGAAGGAGUUCCUUCGAGUCCCCGGCCACAUCUCCGGUGAGCCAUGUCUGGCGGCGGGUGCAGCUGUACAAUCUGGAUCUCAGGCCGCUCGAAGCGGUCGCCUUUUUCAGCAAGGCUGGCAUGCACUUUGGGGAGGCAUAUGUGAACAUCGAAGAGCUUUGUGCACUUCAUAUGCGAGCGUGAGUUUGAGCUUUGUGCACGUACGAUGGCAGAGUGCCCUUUGGCUUUGACGAUGCAUGAUGAAGCGAUGACUGUCAGGUGUAAGCUAUCAGCACAGAUUUGUUCAUUGGAAACGAUGCUACAGUUUCCACAUAGGUGUGUAACACAGUCCACGUCCUUAGGAAUCUCAUAGAAUGUUUGUAAAAUAGCUUUUCUAUGUACUCAUCUUAUACACUAUUGAUUUUAAGAUCUAUGGUCAACUGAAAAAACGUGAAGAGUCCGGGCAUUUAGUUUGCAUCGGAUGUGAUUAUAAUUUGCUUGGCUAUUUAAAAGACUAAGUGAAUAAGAAGACAACCAGACCAUGCUUGCAGCACUGUUAGUUGUGUUGUUGUGGAUCAUAUGUCGUCACCAUUCUCAAGUGUUAUUGAAGGAGGUCCUUCCAAGGCAGAAGCUAGAGGUUAGCAAUACAUGGGUUAGCAUUUUCUUCAUGGCGCCUUGUGUUGUUGGACAGUAAGCUGACAUACAAGUACAUGAGCUACAUUUGCCUUGGAUUACGAGUAGAGCGAAUCAUGCUGUCGAAUAAUUAUUAUUCAGAAGCAAAGCUAGCGUCAUUGUCUUUCUAGAAAUAUGAUUGUUCAUUAUCUUGAGUAAGACACAAUUACUUAUGUUCUUGCUUUAUAUCUCUUGUCAUUGUUUAUACUCUUGGGAUAGCUUUUAUUAAAAAUUACUUGAAGAGUAAUUGUUUUGAUUUGUUGUAUUUCAGUCGUGAAGAUUUAACUCUAUUUUCUUAAUUCGGUUUUUCAGUUGCGAAGAUCAAGGAUUGAAUUCCAGUUUCUACAGACACACAGUAGCCAUCCGUCCUCGCCCCAUGUGCUCCGCCCAACAAGGUAUGAGCUCCCUUUAUGUUUAGAAAUAGGGUUGAUUUUCUUGGAAUUUUUCAGUACUACAUAUAAUAUUGGCAUUGCAUGUUAUAUGUACAUGUUUAUUUGGUUAACCAUUCACCGAGUGCAUGCAAUAUUUUUCGUCCCACGCGGCGGCGAGGAUGGAGGCAUAGAAGGAGCGUGACGGUGCGGGCUCGCAGCCCUACCUUUCCGAUUCGCCUCCUUAUCUGUAGUGGCUGCCACUCAAUCAAUCUAACCUGCACAAAUCGGAAUAUGGUGGCAGCGUUGCAUGAACGGAUGCAUACAUGUAUCUGAUCCUCUAUGAGUUCAUUAACUACAUGAAAAGCUCUACAUGAAUGUUUACACCACCAUGCAGCACUUGACAGGAAGCGUCUUUUGACAGGACAUCUGAAAUUAAAAUGUGUGUGAUAGAAAAAGGCUUCUACAUGACUAUAUGAUUUGCUGCAUGAGACCAGAUGAUUCUUCUGGUUAAUGCAUUUGUGAGAAAUCCAAGAACAAAGGAGAAACUGGUAUUCAGGGUUAAGAGGGCCAGCCUCAUGGAUUACUUCCAACAACAUCCGGAGGGUGCAGUAGUACAUAUUUUGAUUGAUUACCAAGUGUUGGUGUACUAUACUCUUCAGUUCUUCAGAACUUUAUGAACUCGAGUGAGAUUCUCUGAAGAAAAAAGUUAAGGAGACAAUACUCAGUAUCUACUUCAAUCUCAAUUAUAAACACAAGAUGUGUGUGUGUUGUCAAGUGCAAACCUCUGGAGAUUGAUUUCACUAUCAUGCAAUACUUAAGGAUCAAGGUUUGUGGUUGAUACAUUAAAAUUCUGCUCUUUUACUUAUGGUGACAUCCCAAUGUAAAUGGAUCAUUAGGUUUGUUAUGUGCACUACCAUUACCUCCAUCGACAAUGGUACCAUCUUCUAUAGUUUUAUGGUCGUCAGUCGAGUUCUGCACACAGAUUAGCAAUGAAGGUGCAGUGCUGGAGUUGAAGGUUGAGGUGAGUGGCACACAAAGGAGGAGCGAAUAGAAAUGGAGGCAAAGCUGGUAUAUAUAUUUCUUUUUAAAUUUGGGAUAACGCUAGAGUGACUGGAGUUAGGUAAUGUUGAGCCACCGCGCCUACUAUAUAUAUGUAUAGCAGGACAUUGGAAUAUCUUUCGCGAAAUUGAUUGAGAUAUGUUCAAAUUUAUGAAUUCAUGUGUCAUGAA